RNAcentral lists this ribosomal RNA (2933 nucleotides) under Priestia megaterium. RNAcentral describes it as "23S ribosomal RNA". It matches the Rfam family "Bacterial large subunit ribosomal RNA". The record is from RNAcentral. Lineage: Bacteria; Bacillati; Bacillota; Bacilli; Caryophanales; Bacillaceae.
GGUUAAGUUAGAAAGGGCGCACGGUGAAUGCCUUGGCACUAGGAGCCGAUGAAGGACGGGACUAACACCGAUAUGCUUCGGGGAGCUGUAAGUGAGCUUUGAUCCGGAGAUUUCCGAAUGGGGAAACCCACUGUUCGUAAUGGAACAGUAUCUUUAUCUGAAUACAUAGGAUAUUGAAGGCAGACCCGGGGAACUGAAACAUCUAAGUACCCGGAGGAAGAGAAAGCAAAUGCGAUUUCCUGAGUAGCGGCGAGCGAAACGGAAUUAGCCCAAACCAAGAGGCUUGCCUCUUGGGGUUGUAGGACACUCUAUACGGAGUUACAAAGGAACGAAGUAAAUGAAGCGACCUGGAAAGGUCCGUCGAAGAAGGUAACAACCCUGUAGUUGAAACUUCGUUCCCUCUUGAGUGGAUCCUGAGUACGGCGGAACACGUGAAAUUCCGUCGGAAGCUGGGAGGACCAUCUCCCAAGGCUAAAUACUACCUAGUGACCGAUAGUGAACCAGUACCGUGAGGGAAAGGUGAAAAGCACCCCGGAAGGGGAGUGAAAGAGAUCCUGAAACCGUGUGCCUACAAGUAGUCAGAGCCCGUUAACGGGUGAUGGCGUGCCUUUUGUAGAAUGAACCGGCGAGUUACGAUCCCAUGCAAGGUUAAGCUGAUAAGGCGGAGCCGUAGCGAAAGCGAGUCUGAAUAGGGCGUUUAGUAUGUGGUUGUAGACCCGAAACCAGGUGAUCUACCCAUGUCCAGGGUGAAGUUCAGGUAACACUGAAUGGAGGCCCGAACCCACGCACGUUGAAAAGUGCGGGGAUGAGGUGUGGGUAGCGGAGAAAUUCCAAUCGAACCUGGAGAUAGCUGGUUCUCUCCGAAAUAGCUUUAGGGCUAGCCUCAUGUUGUGAGAGUCUUGGAGGUAGAGCACUGAUUGGACUAGGGGCCCCCAACGGGUUACCGAAUUCAGUCAAACUCCGAAUGCCAAAGACUUAUCCAUGGGAGUCAGACUGCGAGUGAUAAGAUCCGUAGUCAAAAGGGAAACAGCCCAGACCACCAGCUAAGGUCCCCAAGUAUACGUUAAGUGGAAAAGGAUGUGGAGUUGCUUAGACAACCAGGAUGUUGGCUUAGAAGCAGCCACCAUUUAAAGAGUGCGUAAUAGCUCACUGGUCGAGUGACUCUGCGCCGAAAAUGUACCGGGGCUAAACGUAUCACCGAAGCUGUGGAUUGACAUCUUUGAUGUCAGUGGUAGGAGAGCGUUCUAAGUGCUGUGAAGUCAGACCGUAAGGACUGGUGGAGCGCUUAGAAGUGAGAAUGCCGGUAUGAGUAGCGAAAGACAAGUGAGAAUCUUGUCCACCGAAUGCCUAAGGUUUCCUGAGGAAGGCUCGUCCGCUCAGGGUUAGUCGGGACCUAAGCCGAGGCUGAAAAGCGUAGGCGAUGGCCAACAGGUUGAUAUUCCUGUACCACCUCCCCGCCGUUUGAGUAAUGGGGGGACGCAGUAGGAUAGGGUAAGCGCGCUGCUGGAUAUGCGCGUUCAAGCAGUUAGGCUGAUGAGUAGGCAAAUCCGCUCAUCAUAAAGGCUGAGCUGUGAUGACGAGGGAAUUAUAGUACCGAAGUUCCUGAUUCCACACUGCCAAGAAAAGCCUCUAGCGAGGCGGGAGGUGCCCGUACCGCAAACCGACACAGGUAGGCGAGGAGAGAAUCCUAAGGUGAUCGAGAGAACUCUCGUUAAGGAACUCGGCAAAAUGACCCCGUAACUUCGGGAGAAGGGGUGCUCUGGUAGGGUGUAUAGCCCGAGAGAGCCGCAGUGAAUAGGCCCAGGCGACUGUUUAGCAAAACACAGGUCUCUGCGAAGCCGCAAGGCGAAGUAUAGGGGCUGACGCCUGCCCGGUGCUGGAAGGUUAAGAGGAGGGUUAUCCUUUGGGAGAAGCUCUGAAUCGAAGCCCCAGUAAACGGCGGCCGUAACUAUAACGGUCCUAAGGUAGCGAAAUUCCUUGUCGGGUAAGUUCCGACCCGCACGAAAGGCGUAACGAUCUGGGCACUGUCUCAACGAGAGACUCGGUGAAAUUAUAGUACCUGUGAAGAUGCAGGUUACCCGCGACAGGACGGAAAGACCCCGUGGAGCUUUACUGUAGCCUGAUAUUGAAUUUUGGUACAGCUUGUACAGGAUAGGUAGGAGCCUGAGAAGCCGGAGCGCUAGCUUCGGUGGAGGCGUCGGUGGGAUACUACCCUGGCUGUAUUGAAAUUCUAACCCGCGGCCCUGAUCGGGCCGGGAGACAGUGUCAGGUGGGCAGUUUGACUGGGGCGGUCGCCUCCUAAAAUGUAACGGAGGCGCCCAAAGGUUCCCUCAGAAUGGUUGGAAAUCAUUCGUAGAGUGUAAAGGCACAAGGGAGCUUGACUGCGAGACCUACAAGUCGAGCAGGGACGAAAGUCGGGCUUAGUGAUCCGGUGGUUCCGCAUGGAAGGGCCAUCGCUCAACGGAUAAAAGCUACCCGGGGAUAACAGGCUUAUCUCCCCCAAGAGUCCACAUCGACGGGGAGGUUUGGCACCUCGAUGUCGGCUCAUCGCAUCCUGGGGCUGUAGUCGGUCCCAAGGGUUGGGCUGUUCGCCCAUUAAAGCGGUACGCGAGCUGGGUUCAGAACGUCGUGAGACAGUUCGGUCCCUAUCCGUCGUGGGCGUAGGAAAUUUGAGAGGAGCUGUCCUUAGUACGAGAGGACCGGGAUGGACACACCGCUGGUGUACCAGUUGUCUUGCCAAAGGCAUCGCUGGGUAGCUAUGUGUGGACGGGAUAAGUGCUGAAAGCAUCUAAGCAUGAAGCCCCCCUCAAGAUGAGAUUUCCCAUAGCGCAAGCUAGUAAGAUCCCUGAAAGAUGAUCAGGUUGAUAGGUCAGAGGUGGAAGCGUGGCGACAUGUGUAGCUGACUGAUACUAAUCGAUCGAGGACUUAACCAA